RNAcentral lists this ribosomal RNA (274 nucleotides) under uncultured bacterium. RNAcentral describes it as "partial 16S ribosomal RNA". It matches the Rfam family "Bacterial small subunit ribosomal RNA", at positions 523 to 796 of the family's 1533-position model. The record is from RNAcentral.
AUACGGAGGGUGCGAGCGUUAAUCGGAAUUACUGGGCGUAAAGCGUACGUAGGCGGUUUGCUAAGUCAGAUGUGAAAGCCCCGGGCUUAACCUGGGAACUGUAUUUGAUACUGGCAGACUAGAGUAUGAUAGAGGGGGGUAGAAUUCCUGGUGUAGCGGUGAAAUGCGUAGAUAUCAGGAGGAAUACCAGUGGCGAAGGCGGCCCCCUGGAUCAAUACUGACGCUGAGGUACGAAAGCGUGGGGAGCGAACAGGAUUAGAAACCCUAGUAGUCC